Molecule: ribosomal RNA, 1413 nt
Filed under: Psychrobacter sp. ES-12
Lineage: Bacteria; Pseudomonadati; Pseudomonadota; Gammaproteobacteria; Moraxellales; Moraxellaceae
Description: 16S ribosomal RNA
Rfam family: Bacterial small subunit ribosomal RNA
Source: RNAcentral
GCUUAACACAUGCAAGUCGAGCGGAAACGAUGAUAGCUUGCUAUCAGGCGUCGAGCGGCGGACGGGUGAGUAAUACUUAGGAAUCUACCUAGUAGUGGGGGAUAGCACGGGGAAACUCGUAUUAAUACCGCAUACGACCUACGGGAGAAAGGGGGCAGUUUACUGCUCUCGCUAUUAGAUGAGCCUAAGUCGGAUUAGCUAGAUGGUGGGGUAAAGGCCUACCAUGGCGACGAUCUGUAGCUGGUCUGAGAGGAUGAUCAGCCACACCGGGACUGAGACACGGCCCGGACUCCUACGGGAGGCAGCAGUGGGGAAUAUUGGACAAUGGGGGAAACCCUGAUCCAGCCAUGCCGCGUGUGUGAAGAAGGCCUUUUGGUUGUAAAGCACUUUAAGCAGUGAAGAAGACUCCGUGGUUAAUACCCACGGACGAUGACAUUAGCUGCAGAAUAAGCACCGGCUAACUCUGUGCCAGCAGCCGCGGUAAUACAGAGGGUGCAAGCGUUAAUCGGAAUUACUGGGCGUAAAGGGAGCGUAGGUGGCUCUAUAAGUCAGAUGUGAAAUCCCCGGGCUUAACCUGGGAACUGCAUCUGAAACUGUAGAGCUAGAGUAUGUGAGAGGAAGGUAGAAUUCCAGGUGUAGCGGUGAAAUGCGUAGAGAUCUGGAGGAAUACCGAUGGCGAAGGCAGCCUUCUGGCAUAAUACUGACACUGAGGCUCGAAAGCGUGGGUAGCAAACAGGAUUAGAUACCCUGGUAGUCCACGCCGUAAACGAUGUCUACUAGUCGUUGGGUCCCUUGAGGACUUAGUGACGCAGCUAACGCAAUAAGUAGACCGCCUGGGGAGUACGGCCGCAAGGUUAAAACUCAAAUGAAUUGACGGGGGCCCGCACAAGCGGUGGAGCAUGUGGUUUAAUUCGAUGCAACGCGAAGAACCUUACCUGGUCUUGACAUAUCUAGAAUCCUGCAGAGAUGCGGGAGUGCCUUCGGGAAUUAGAAUACAGGUGCUGCAUGGCUGUCGUCAGCUCGUGUCGUGAGAUGUUGGGUUAAGUCCCGCAACGAGCGCAACCCUUGUCCUUAGUUACCAGCGGGUUAAGCCGGGAACUCUAAGGAUACUGCCAGUGACAAACUGGUGGAAGGCGGGGACGACGUCAAGUCAUCAUGGCCCUUACGACCAGGGCUACACACGUGCUACAAUGGUAGGUACAGAGGGCAGCUACACAGCGAUGUGAUGCGAAUCUCAAAAAGCCUAUCGUAGUCCAGAUUGGAGUCUGCAACUCGACUCCAUGAAGUAGGAAUCGCUAGUAAUCGCGGAUCAGAAUGCCGCGGUGAAUACGUUCCCGGGCCUUGUACACACCGCCCGUCACACCAUGGGAGUUGAUUGCACCAGAAGUGGAUAGCUUAACCUUCGGGGGAGCG